UCAACCGUAAAAUUGCAGUUGAUACUGGAUAUCUUGAGUGCAGUUGAGGCAGGCGGAAUUCGUGGUGUAGCGGUGAAAUGCUUAGAUAUCACGAAGAACUCCGAUUGCGAAGGCAGCCUGCUAAGCUGCAACUGACAUUGAGGCUCGAAAGUGUGGGUAUCAAACAGGAUUAGAUACCCUGGUAGUCCACACGGUAAACGAUGAAUACUCGCUGUUUGCGAUAUACUGCAAGCGGCCAAGCGAAAGCGUUAAGUAUUCCACCUGGGGAGUACGCCGGCAACGGUGAAACUCAAAGGAAUUGACGGGGGCCCGCACAAGCGGAGGAACAUGUGGUUUAAUUCGAUGAUACGCGAGGAACCUUACCCGGGCUUAAAUUGCAGAUGAAUUACGGUGAAAGCCGUAAGCCGCAAGGCAUCUGUGAAGGUGCUGCAUGGUUGUCGUCAGCUCGUGCCGUGAGGUGUCGGCUUAAGUGCCAUAACGAGCGCAACCCUUGUUGUCAGUUACUAACAGGUUCCGCUGAGGACUCUGACAAGACUGCCAUCGUAAGAUGUGAGGAAGGUGGGGAUGACGUCAAAUCAGCACGGCCCUUACGUCCGGGGCUACACACGUGUUACAAUGGGGGGUACAGAGGGCCGCUACCACGCGAGUGGAUGCCAAUCCCAAAAACCUCUCUCAGUUCGGACUGGAGUCUGCAACCCGACUCCACGAAGCUGGAUUCGCUAGUAAUCGCGCAUCAGCCACGGCGCGGUGAAUACGUUCCCGGGCCUUGUACACACCGCCCGUCAAGCCAUGGGAGCCGGGGGUACCUGAAGUGCGUAACCGCGAGGAGCGCCCUAGGGUAAAACUGGUGACUGGGGC
This 858-nucleotide ribosomal RNA is filed under the name uncultured organism. Its description in RNAcentral is "SSU rRNA". It matches the Rfam family "Bacterial small subunit ribosomal RNA", at positions 609 to 1481 of the family's 1533-position model. The record is from RNAcentral.